UUAAGCUCCUUAGCGUCGAUGGUAGUCGAACUUACGUUCCGCUAGAGUAGAACGUUGCCAGGCAAGUUGAGACCGCAGGUCUCUUUUUUUUAUGUCUAAAACGUCAAAAUAAAAGCAAACACAAAGAAAGAUGGCUUGGCGAAGUGAAAACGUUUGAAUCUGACGAAACAAGAAAAGAGCGCAACGAGUUUAGUAGAGCUAAAUGAGUAAGCGAGAGCCGAAGGAGAGGAAAGAAGCAAGCGAUUGUCACAAGUCAAGAAAGGUCUUUAGCGACGAUGGUAGCAAACUUACGUUCCGCUAGAGUAGAACGUUGCCAGGCAAGUUGAGACCGCAAGGUCUCUUUUUUUAUGUCUAAAACGUCAAAAUAAAAGCAAACACAAAGAAAGAUGGCUUGGCGAAGUGAAAACGUUUGAAUCUGACGAAACGAGAAAAGAGUGCAACGAGUUUAGUAGAGCUAAAUGAGUAAGCGAGAGCCGAAGGAGAGGAAAGAAGCAAGCGAUUGUCACAAGUCAAGAAAGGUUCUUAGCGACGAAGGUAGCAAACUUACGUUCCGCUAGAGUAGAACGUUGCCAGGCAAAAAGUGGAUGCGAUGAGCCGCAUUGAGACCGCAAGGUCUCUUUUUUUAUGUCUAAAGUUACAUAGUAAAAAGCAAACACAAAGAAAGAUGGCUUGGCGAAGUGAAAACGUUUGAAUCUGACGAAACGAGAAAUGUAAAGUAUAAUAAAAAGCAGUCAUAAGAUGAUUUCAAUUAGAAAUCAAUUUAUGACUGUUUUUCUUACUAUGUGUGGGUUAGUCGGGUCCUAAGCUGAGGCCGACAGGCGUAGGCGAUGGAUAACAGGUUGAUAUUCCUGUACCACCUAUAAUCGUUUUAAUCGAUGGGGGGACGCAGUAGGAUAGGCGAAGCGUGCGAUUGGAUUGCACGUCUAAGCAGUAAGGCUGAGUAUUAGGCAAAUCCGGUACUCGUUAAGGCUGAGCUGUGAUGGGGAGAAGACAUUGUGUCUUCGAGUCGUUGAUUUCACACUUCCGAGAAAAGCCUCUAGAUAGAAAAUAGGUGCUCGUACCGCAAACCGACACAGGUAGUCAAGAUGAGAAUUCUAAGGUGAGCGAGCGAACUCUCGUUAAGGAACUCGGCAAAAUGACCCCGUAACUUCGGGAGAAGGGGUGCUCUUUAGGGUUAACGCCCAGAAGAGCCGCAGAGAAUAGGCCCAAGCGACUGUUUAUCAAAAACACAGGUCUCUGCUAAACCGUAAGGUGAUGUAUAGGGGCUGACGCCUGCCCGGUGCUGGAAGGUUAAGAGGAGUGGUUAGCUUCUGCGAAGCUACGAAUCGAAGCCCCAGUAAACGGCGGCCGUAACUAUAACGGUCCUAAGGUAGCGAAAUUCCUUGUCGGGUAAGUUCCGACCCGCACGAAAGGCGUAACGAUUUGGGCACUGUCUCAACGAGAGACUCGGUGAAAUCAUAGUACCUGUGAAGAUGCAGGUUACCCGCGACAGGACGGAAAGACCCCGUGGAGCUUUACUGUAGCCUGAUAUUGAAAUUCGGCACAGCUUGUACAGGAUAGGUAGGAGCCUUUGAAACGUGAGCGCUAGCUUACGUGGAGGCGCUGGUGGGAUACUACCCUAGCUGUGUUGGCUUUCUAACCCGCACCACUUAUCGUGGUGGGAGACAGUGUCAGGCGGGCAGUUUGACUGGGGCGGUCGCCUCCUAAAAGGUAACGGAGGCGCUCAAAGGUUCCCUCAGAAUGGUUGGAAAUCAUUCAUAGAGUGUAAAGGCAUAAGGGAGCUUGACUGCGAGACCUACAAGUCGAGCAGGGUCGAAAGACGGACUUAGUGAUCCGGUGGUUCCGCAUGGAAGGGCCAUCGCUCAACGGAUAAAAGCUACCCCGGGGAUAACAGGCUUAUCUCCCCCAAGAGUUCACAUCGACGGGGAGGUUUGGCACCUCGAUGUCGGCUCAUCGCAUCCUGGGGCUGUAGUCGGUCCCAAGGGUUGGGCUGUUCGCCCAUUAAAGCGGUACGCGAGCUGGGUUCAGAACGUCGUGAGACAGUUCGGUCCCUAUCCGUCGUGGGCGUAGGAAAUUUGAGAGGAGCUGUCCUUAGUACGAGAGGACCGGGAUGGACAUACCUCUGGUGUACCAGUUGUCGUGCCAACGGCAUAGCUGGGUAGCUAUGUGUGGACGGGAUAAGUGCUGAAAGCAUCUAAGCAUGAAGCCCCCCUCAAGAUGAGAUUUCCCAACUUCGGUUAUAAGAUCCCUCAAAGAUGAUGAGGUUAAUAGGUUCGAGGUGGAAGCAUGGUGACAUGUGGAGCUGACGAAUACUAAUCGAUCGAAGACUUAAUCAA
Molecule: ribosomal RNA, 2336 nt
Filed under: Staphylococcus aureus 04-02981
Lineage: Bacteria; Bacillati; Bacillota; Bacilli; Caryophanales; Staphylococcaceae
Description: bacterial LSU rRNA
Rfam family: Bacterial large subunit ribosomal RNA (bases 598-2336)
Source: RNAcentral